GCUUUCCCUCCAGAGUGGAUCCUGAGUACGGCGGAACACGUGAAAUUCCGUCGGAAUCCGGGAGGACCAUCUCCCAAGGCUAAAUACUCCCUAGUGACCGAUAGUGAACCAGUACCGUGAGGGAAAGGUGAAAAGCACCCCGGAAGGGGAGUGAAACAGUUCCUGAAACCGUGUGCCUACAAGUAGUUAGAGCCCGUUAAUGGGUGAUAGCGUGCCUUUUGUAGAAUGAACCGGCGAGUUACGAUUUGUUGCAAGGUUAAGCGGAAAAAGCGGAGCCGUAGCGAAAGCGAGUCUGAAUAGGGCGCAUAAGUAACAGGUCGUAGACCCGAAACCAGGUGAUCUACCCAUGUCCAGGAUGAAGGUAAGGUAAUACUUACUGGAGGUCCGAACCCACGCACGUUGAAAAGUGCGGGGAUGAGGUGUGGGUAGCGGAGAAAUUCCAAUCGAACUUGGAGAUAGCUGGUUCUCUCCGAAAUAGCUUUAGGGCUAGCCUCGAGGUAAAGAGUCAUGGAGGUAGAGCACUGUUUGGACUAGGGGCCCUUCUCGGGUUACCGAAUUCAGAUAAACUCCGAAUGCCAUGUACUUAUACUCGGGAGUCAGACUGCGAGUGAUAAGAUCCGUAGUCGAAAGGGAAACAGCCCAGACCACCAGUUAAGGUCCCCAAAUAUAUGUUAAGUGGAAAAGGAUGUGGGGUUGCUUAGACAACCAGGAUGUUGGCUUAGAAGCAGCCACCAUUGAAAGAGUGCGUAAUAGCUCACUGGUCGAGUGACCCCGCGCCGAAAAUGUACCGGGGCUAAACAUAUUACCGAAACUGUGGAUGAACCUCUUUAGAGGUUCGUGGUAGGAGAGCGUUCUAAGGGCGGUGAAGUCAGACCGGAAGGACUGGUGGAGCGCUUAGAAGUGAGAAUGCCGGUAUGAGUAGCGAAAGAAGGGUGAGAAUCCCUUCCACCGAAUAUCUAAGGUUUCCUGAGGAAGGCUCGUCCGCUCAGGGUUAGUCGGGACCUAAGCCGAGGCCGAUAGGCGUAGGCGAUGGACAACAGGUAGAGAUUCCUGUACCAGUGCUAAUUGUUUAACCGAUGGGGUGACACAGAAGGAUAGGGAAUCGCACGAAUGGAAAUGUGCGUCCAAGCAGUGAGUGUGAGAAGUAGGCAAAUCCGCUUCUCGCGAAGCAUGAGCUGUGAUGGGGAAGGAAAUUAAGUACGGAAGUUCCUGAUUUCACGCUGUCAAGAAAAGCCUCUAGGAAGAGUAGUACUGCCCGUACCGCAAACCGACACAGGUAGAUGAGGAGAGAAUCCUAAGGUGAGCGAGAGAACUCUCGUUAAGGAACUCGGCAAAAUGACCCCGUAACUUCGGGAGAAGGGGUGCUCUAUUAGGGUGCAAGCCCGAGAGAGCCGCAGUGAAUAGGCCCAGGCGACUGUUUAGCAAAAACACAGGUCUCUGCAAAACCGUAAGGUGACGUAUAGGGGCUGACGCCUGCCCGGUGCUGGAAGGUUAAGAGGAGUGCUUAGCUUCGGCGAAGGUACGAAUUGAAGCCCCAGUAAACGGCGGCCGUAACUAUAACGGUCCUAAGGUAGCGAAAUUCCUUGUCGGGUAAGUUCCGACCCGCACGAAAGGCGCAACGAUCUGGGCACUGUCUCAACGAGAGACUCGGUGAAAUUAUAGUACCUGUGAAGAUGCAGGUUACCCGCGACAGGACGGAAAGACCCCGUGGAGCUUUACUGCAACCUGAUAUGGAAUGUUUGUACCGCUUGUACAGGAUAGGUAGGAGCCGAAGAGACGUGUGCGCUAGCAUACGAGGAGGCAAUGGUGGGAUACUACCCUGGCUGUA
Molecule: ribosomal RNA, 1828 nt
Filed under: Listeria monocytogenes
Lineage: Bacteria; Bacillati; Bacillota; Bacilli; Caryophanales; Listeriaceae
Description: partial 23S ribosomal RNA
Rfam family: Bacterial large subunit ribosomal RNA
Source: RNAcentral